RNAcentral lists this ribosomal RNA (292 nucleotides) under uncultured bacterium. Its description in RNAcentral is "partial 16S ribosomal RNA". It matches the Rfam family "Bacterial small subunit ribosomal RNA", at positions 505 to 796 of the family's 1533-position model. The record is from RNAcentral.
GUGUCAGCCGCCGCGGUAAUACGGAGGGGGCUAGCGUUGUUCGGAAUUACUGGGCGUAAAGCGCACGUAGGCGGACCGACAAGUCGGGGGUGAAAUCCCGGGGCUCAACCCCGGAACUGCCUCCGAAACUGCCGGUCUGGAGGUCGAGAGAGGCGAGUGGAAUUCCGAGUGUAGAGGUGAAAUUCGUAGAUAUUCGGAGGAACACCAGUGGCGAAGGCGGCUCGCUGGCUCGAACCUGACGCUGAGGUGCGAAAGCGUGGGGAGCAAACAGGAUUAGAAACCCUUGUAGUCC